UUAAGCAUAUUAAUAAGCGGAGGAAAAGAAACUAACAAGGAUUCCCUCAGUAACGGCGAGUGAAGCGGGAAGAGCUCAAAUUUGAAAUCUCCGAUGCUUGCAUCGGCGAGUUGUAGUUGCGAGAAGCACUUUCUAGGCGGAUCGGCGGUGCCUAAGUUGCUUGGAACAGCACGUCACAGAGGGUGACAACCCCGUCUGUGGCGCCGCCGGCCGCCCACGAUGUGCUUUCGAAGAGUCGGGUUGUUUGGGAAUGCAGCCCAAAACGGGUGGUAAACUCCAUCUAAAGCUAAAUACUGGCGUGAGACCGAUAGCGAACAAGUACCGUGAGGGAAAGAUGAAAAGAACUUUGAAAAGAGAGUUAAAAAGUACGUGAAACCGUUGAAAGGGAAACGAAUGGGCUCAGCAAUGCACCCUUUGAGAUUCAGCCGGUGGGUGGGAUCGGCGCCGGGUUUGCGGAUCUGAAUGGACCGCGGCCAGGCGCUCGUUUCUCCCUGGCCGUCGCACUUCUCUUGGGUGCGCGUCAACGUCGGUUGGGACUGGGUCUGAAAGGUGCCGGGAAGGUAGGCGUGGGCCUCCGGGUCCGUGCUGUUACAGCCCGGUUCUCCUCAUGGCUCGGGCUCGACCGAGGAGUUGCAGGGCAUGCCUGCUGUGGCUAGGGUCCCGUCCUUCCGGCCGGCUGUCCAAUGCCGUGGACUGCUUGCAGUGCUCGGCGAACGCUGCCGGUCGUUGGGAUGGUGAUCUCGUACCAUGCCCUUAGGAUGUUGGCGGUCAUAUG
This 775-nucleotide ribosomal RNA is filed under the name Cyphastrea serailia. RNAcentral's name for it is "eukaryotic LSU rRNA". The stretch from base 1 to 689 matches the Rfam family "Eukaryotic large subunit ribosomal RNA", at positions 34 to 664 of the family's 3401-position model. Lineage: Eukaryota; Metazoa; Cnidaria; Anthozoa; Scleractinia; Merulinidae. The record is from RNAcentral.